UUUUUUUUGUUGCCUGGUUUUCAAAUCGUCAAUGGCAGGAAUGGCAUGGAGGAACUUACAGUAUUGUUAGACUGAGGAUCCUUUCAGCACUAACUGCAGUCCUGCAUCACUGCAGCUCUUGUGCUGAGUGCAGUUUUGAUGGGUGGAGGAAAUGUCAGAGAAGGUGCCUUCAGAGCAAACACUGCACCCUGUGUCUCUCUCGGCUGUACCUGCAACUGUGGGGCGCGUCUUCAUCAUAAGCAGUUCUGGAACUGGUCGACUGCUGGCUGAAUAAAAGUCCAGUCCUGUGAUCCACUCGACAUCUCUGACCCUUGACUGGUGAAACCAGAUGUGAUCUUCCAC
Long non-coding RNA from Gambusia affinis (western mosquitofish), 342 nucleotides. RefSeq lists it as uncharacterized. The transcript is spliced from 3 exons. The record is from RefSeq and is a predicted model, not a curated record. NCBI's taxonomy places the organism in Eukaryota, Metazoa, Chordata, Actinopteri, Cyprinodontiformes, Poeciliidae.